UGCUUUACACAUGCAAGUCGAACGGCCAGCACGGACUUCGGUCUUGUGGCGAGUGGCGAACGGGUGAGUAAUAUAUCGGAACGUAUCCAAUAAUGGGGAUAACUAAUCGAAAGGUUGGCUAAUACCGCAUACGCCCUACGGGGGAAAGCUAGGGAUCUUCGGACCUGGCGUUAAUGGAGCGGCUGAUAUCUGAUUAGCUAGUAGGUGAGGUAAGGGCUCACCUAGGCACGAUCAGUAGCUGGUCUGAGAGGACGACCAGCCACACUGGAACUGAGACACGGUCCAGACUCCUACGGGAGGCAGCAGUGGGGAAUUUUGGACAAUGGGCGAAAGCCUGAUCCAGCCAUUCCGCGUGAGUGAAGAAGGCCUUCGGGUUGUAAAGCUCUUUCGCAAGGGAAGAAAACUUAUCCUCUAACAUAGGGUGAGGUUGACGGUACCUUGAUAAGAAGCACCGGCUAACUACGUGCCAGCAGCCGCGGUAAACGUAGGGUGCGAGCGUUAAUCGGAAUUACUGGGCGUAAAGCGUGCGCAGGCGGUUUUGUAAGUCAGAUGUGAAAUCCCCGAGCUCAACUUGGGAACUGCGUUUGAAACUAUAAGACUAGAAUAUGUCAGAGGGGGGUAGAAUUACACGUGUAGCAGUGAAAUGCGUAGAGAUGUGGAGGAAUACCAAUGGCGAAGGCAGCCCCCUGGGAUAAUAUUGACGCUCAUGCACGAAAGCGUGGGGAGCAAACCGGAUUGAUACCCUGGUAGUCCACGCCCUAAACGAUGUCUACUAGUUGUUGGUGGAGUAAAAUCCAUGAGUAACGCAGCUAACGCGUGAAGUAGACCGCCUGGGGAGUACGGUCGCAAGAUUAAAACUCAAAUGAAUUGACGGGGGCCCGCACAAGCGGUGGAUUAUGUUGGAUUAAUUCGAUGCAACGCGAAAAACCUUAACUGGCCUUGACAUGGUUA
RNAcentral lists this ribosomal RNA (951 nucleotides) under uncultured Methylophilus sp. RNAcentral describes it as "bacterial SSU rRNA". It matches the Rfam family "Bacterial small subunit ribosomal RNA", at positions 45 to 992 of the family's 1533-position model. Lineage: Bacteria; Pseudomonadati; Pseudomonadota; Betaproteobacteria; Nitrosomonadales; Methylophilaceae. The record is from RNAcentral.